GCAGAAGUGGUCCUGCAACUUUAUCCGCCUCCAUCCAGUCUAUUAAUUGUUGCCGGGAAGCUAGAGUAAGUAGUUCGCCAGUUAAUAGUUUGCGCAACGUUGUUGCCAUUGCUACAGGCAUCGUGGUGUCACGCUCGUCGUUUGGUAUGGCUUCAUUCAGCUCCGGUUCCCAACGAUCAAGGCGAGUUACAUGAUCCCCCAUGUUGUGCAAAAAAGCGGUUAGCUCCUUCGGUCCUCCGAUCGUUGUCAGAAGUAAGUUGGCCGCAGUGUUAUCACUCAUGGUUAUGGCAGCACUGCAUAAUUCUCUUACUGUCAUGCCAUCCGUAAGAUGCUUUUCUGUGACUGGUGAGUACUCAACCAAGUCAUUCUGAGAAUAGUGUAUGCGGCGACCGAGUUGCUCUUGCCCGGCGUCAAUACGGGAUAAUACCGCGCCACAUAGCAGAACUUUAAAAGUGCUCAUCAUUGGAAAACGUUCUUCGGGGCGAAAACUCUCAAGGAUCUUACCGCUGUUGAGAUCCAGUUCGAUGUAACCCACUCGUGCACCCAACUGAUCUUCAGCAUCUUUUACUUUCACCAGCGUUUCUGGGUCCAUAACAGCAUCAACCACUUUGUACAAGAAAGCUGGGUCGGCGCGCCCACCCUUUGUCUGAGACCCUUGUCCCUGUUGUCCUGGACUAGAUCCAGGUGAUCCUGUGGCACCUUGCUCUGCACCGGCAUCCAGAGAUGCUGUGGGACCAUGUUGUGUGCCAGAAGCUUGUGUACUUGUGGAUGGCUGCUCGGGGUCUGUAGGGGGCUCUGUAGGGGGCUCUGGUAAGGGAAAAUAAGGCUUUGCCUUGACUAUAGUACCUUCUACGCUGCUGUGGUAUUUUUCACAGUAGGCCAAGACAACCCUUUUUAGUUUUUUGGCCUGUUUCUUGUCUUCAACAAAUGAAAGUAAAUAGUAUGUUACACACUGUUGUGUUGUGCCUGGUACCAAGGGUAAACAGCUAACUGGUGUUGAGAGUACAUGUUUGCUUUGGAUACACUUGUGAAGUUUAUUCAAAGUGUAGGGAUGUGUGCUACUAAACAUAACAGCUGACUUAAAAUGUGUUGGGGGGUGACCCUCGGGAUCAAAUAACCUGGGUGCUGUCACCUGCAGGUGUCUUCGCAUUCCCUGAUAUUUUUUAGGCAAUGGAUCAGAUGGAUUAUGCGGUUUUUGAUACCUGGAGUAUCUUUUUGGUGGAGGGGGACCGGGAUCGUCUGUCUCUCCUACAUCUAAACCUUCAACAUCAACAUCUGGUGAUGGUGGGGCUGGUGGGGGGGAAGGAGAUGGUGGCUCAUGUACUGGUGAUGAAGGAGGGACGGGGGAUGAGGGAAGUGUUGGUGAUGAAGGGGGCACUGGUGGUGAUGGGGGGUUUGGCGUUUGAGUUCCCUGGCUGGACUCCUCAUCACCUUGGCAUCCCGGUGGUGGAGGAGGGGCUGGUCUUUUUGGAGCGCGGCGUCUUUUAGGAGGCAUGGCUGCUGGUUUGUUGAAGCACCUACGUUUGCACCCUGAUCUGGUUUUGCCUGAGGUUGUGUUGCGUGUAGUCGGUGGGGAUGUGGGCAUUAUCUGAAAGAGAUAAAGUACACAGUCACAACUUUUAGCACAGGAAGGGUGUGGGUCAAGUGUUUAUGCUUUAAAUUCUGUAGGCAGGUGUGUCACAGUUCUCCUUAAAGGGGACCUUCUUCCUGUUUCUCUACUUCUGACUCUGCAAGAAAGACAGACUGAGUGAGUGUCCCCACACCGGAGCCACGAUGCUUGUCCUGCGGGACCUGGACCUGGAAGAUCUUCAGGCAUUCUUAGAAAACUCAUCAUUGUCCUAUGACGAUUAUUAUGACAAUGCUACCUGGAUUCCAGAUUUGGCGAGCCCCUGUACGGUGUCCCUCAAGUAUGGGGUACUGUUUGCACUGGCUCUGUUUAUGUUUGUUCUGUCUGUGCUUGGAAAUCUGACGGUAGUGUGUGUGUUUUGUGCAUAUAGGGCGGCAUGUAAGGGGGCAGAUGUUUUGAUGCUAGUAUUUUGUUUUGUGUGCAUGUUGGCCUCUUUGGCUCAUGUGCUAGAAAUAUCUCACCUCCUGUACACCAUGCCAGGAUCUAUGCUAUUGUGUGUAUUAUUCACCCUUUAUGUAAGCACCUUGGACUUUUGUAUUGUAUUUAUAUUGAUGAUAAUUUCUAUACAUAGGUGUUUGCUAGUUAUGACUCCAAAUAGGCUGUUUUUGAAUAGUAAAUGCUUUGGAGCGUG
RNAcentral lists this long non-coding RNA (2258 nucleotides) under synthetic construct. RNAcentral describes it as "ncORF73-AS02". The record is from RNAcentral.